Tulasnella calospora is the source of this 89-nucleotide transfer RNA. It matches the Rfam family "tRNA". Rfam says of the family: Transfer RNA (tRNA) molecules are approximately 80 nucleotides in length. The record is from Rfam. Lineage: Eukaryota; Fungi; Basidiomycota; Agaricomycetes; Cantharellales; Tulasnellaceae.
CCCUUUGUAGCUCAGCUGGAAGAGCGUGGGACUGUAAUGGCUUACGUAAUGUCAUCCCAAGGCCGUCGGUUCGACCCCGACCGAAGGGA